ACGCUGGCGGCACGCCUAACACAUGCAAGUCGAACGCAGUAGCAAUACUGAGUGGCAAACGGGUGAGUAUAAUGUGGGAAUCUGCCUUUUGGUUUGGAAUAACACGGGGAAACUUGUGCUAAUACCGAAUAAGCCCUUACGGGGAAAGUUUUAAUGCCGAAAGAUGAGCCCGCACUUGAUUAGCUAGUUGGUAAGGUAAAAGCUUACCAAGGCAACGAUCAAUAGCUGUUCUUAGAGGAAGACCAGCCACAUUGGGACUGAGACACGGCCCAGACUCCUACGGGAGGCAGCANUGGGGAAUCUUGCACAAUGGGGGAAACCCUGAUGCAGCGAUGCCGCGUGAGUGAAGAAGGCCUUUGGGUUGUAAAACUCUUUCGUCGGGGAAGAAAAUGACUGUACCCGAAUAAGAAAGUCCGGCUAACUUCGUGCCAGCAGCCGCGGUAAUACGAAGGGACCUAGCGUAGUUCGGAAUUACUGNGCUUAAAGAGCUCGUAGGGUGGUUAAAAAAGUUUNAUGGGUGAAAUCCCANGGCUCAACCUUGGGA
Molecule: ribosomal RNA, 544 nt
Filed under: uncultured alpha proteobacterium NAC1-7
Lineage: Bacteria; Pseudomonadati; Pseudomonadota; Alphaproteobacteria; Candidatus Pelagibacterales
Description: bacterial SSU rRNA
Rfam family: Bacterial small subunit ribosomal RNA
Source: RNAcentral